CGGUAAAAUCAGACCUGAACGCGUAACAACACUUCAGCACCAGCAGAAAGUUGACUUUUAUUGAUCUUACCUGGCUUGAACACAUGCAGGAAUCCAGAGCACUCAUGUUGGGUGGGUCAGUCAGACAGAGAGGGUUUCUUGGGCUGUCUCAGUGCUCUGGGAAAGGAGCGCGCUUUGGAUGCACAAACGCUCAUCCGUGCCUCGGCACACUCACUCAAACUCACUGGAUAUUUUGCUGAGUUACCCAGGCAACUCAAUUCUUUUUGUCCUGCCCAUUCAGGAUUCCAGGAAAGUAUUUGACUCCCACUGGUAGGACUUGGAGAGCAUUCCCAGGGAAAAGCCAAGGACGGCAGAAUGAAGCCUUGGAGAGGAGGAGAGCGGAGUCAGUGAAACAUUUCAUCGGGGUCAGCAGACAAAAAGGAAUCAACAACGAGCUGCAUAAAUAAUUGAAGUGAAAACUAUAUAUGUCUGCUUCUCGAAGGUGUUACAAACCCAGGCAUUCCAAGAGGGUUGGAGGGGCUGUAACCAAGCAACAGGGACUGAAAUUUGGUUCUCUCUCCUGGAAAAACAAUGGGCUCGCAAGUCAUAAUGACAAUGUUGGGGACUGAAGAGUGAGCCUUUCCUUGAUUUAAUAAUCUUUGGAUGAAGCUUUAAGAAAAGAUGUUUGUGGAAUGAAGGAAGCAUUUUUAUUUGGUUCAGGAGAGGCCUAUUGCAGCAUCAAGCCUGUCUUUUCUAGCAGAAUGAAGGUCAACAAUUUCUGGGAGAAUUAAACUUUUUGUGACACUGAGGAAAGACCACAAAUAAGUAACAUUUCAAGAUUUUCUUUCUCAAAACUUUAUUUCCAAAAGAAAUCAUGGACAUAACUCACUGUCUCUUCAUUUCCCUGGAUGAAAGAGAGAAUAUAACUGUAUCCCAAGUGGAGCUGGUGGCACAUGACACUCCUGAUUGAUGAUUUCUCCCUGUAUUCACCUCCCUGAGAUGAGAAUUGAUUACCUGAAAUAUAUUGAAAAAAGUGGUUUAUUUUAUCCAUCAAACCCCUGCCUUCCUGGAAAUCAGGUCCUGCAAAUGUGGGAAUACUUGGGAGUCACCAGAGCACUUCUUGAUUAAAGUGCCUUUGCCAGGUUGUCAUAAAUGAGAUGUUUGAGACAAAUAGACAUCAUCUCUUUAAGUGUGGGAUGGGAAAAUAAUUGUAUUGCUGGGCCAAGGUGGUAAAAAAGUACCCAGCUCUACACGAGCUUAGAAAGGAGGGAGAGAACAGGGAA
Molecule: long non-coding RNA, 1262 nt
Filed under: Parus major (Great Tit)
Lineage: Eukaryota; Metazoa; Chordata; Aves; Passeriformes; Paridae
Description: lncRNA (ENSPMJG00000004946.1)
Source: RNAcentral